GUGAGUAAUGCUUGGAAAUCUGCCUGAUAGAGGGGGACAACCACGGGAAACUGUGGCUAAUACCGCAUAAUCUAUUCGUAGCAAAGUGGGGGACCUUCGGGCCUCACGCUAUCAGAUGAAUCCAAGUGGGAUUAGCUAGUUGGUGAGGUAAGAGCUCACCAAGGCGACGAUCUCUAGCUGGUUUGAGAGGAUGAUCAGCCACACUGGAACUGAGACACGGUCCAGACUCCUACGGGAGGCAGCAGUGGGGAAUAUUGCACAAUGGGCGCAAGCCUGAUGCAGCCAUGCCGCGUGUGUGAAGAAGGCCUUCGGGUUGUAAAGCACUUUCAGUCGCGAGGAAGGGCUAUUAGUUAAUAACUGAUAGCAUUGACGUUAACGACAGAAGAAGCACCGGCUAACUCCGUGCCAGCAGCCGCGGUAAUACGGAGGGUG
This 432-nucleotide ribosomal RNA is filed under the name uncultured bacterium. Its description in RNAcentral is "bacterial SSU rRNA". It matches the Rfam family "Bacterial small subunit ribosomal RNA", at positions 106 to 534 of the family's 1533-position model. The record is from RNAcentral.